RNAcentral lists this unclassified non-coding RNA (1540 nucleotides) under Hevea brasiliensis (rubber tree). The record is from RNAcentral. Lineage: Eukaryota; Viridiplantae; Streptophyta; Magnoliopsida; Malpighiales; Euphorbiaceae.
GGGCAUGUUAGACAAGGGAAACAUAAGGAAGGAGGAUCAUUACGCUACCAAACUCUCUUUGCGCGGCUAUUUAAAGGGAAAUAUUUUCCUUUCUCGUCCUUUUUGCAGGCUAAACAAGGAAGCAGAACAUCUUAGGGCUGGCAAAGCAUCCUUUGUGCGAGAAAUCCUUAAAAAAGGAGUUAGAUGGCAUAUAGGGAGGGGUGAAACUGUCCUAUGUAAGGAAGAAAGAUGGAUUCCAAAAUUCUUCCCACAUUCUCCUGUAGUUAAGGAAAAUCAUGAUUUCAAAGUCGUUUGGGUUUCUCAGCUUUUGGACAAUUCCUUGAAUAAAUGGAAUGUUAAUACAUUAAGAGCAAAUUUUCAGGAGGAAGUUAAUAAUAUUCUCUCAAUGCCAGUUGCGCUUUUUCGAAGAGAUGACCAUCUCAUAUGGCAUUUUGAUAAAAAAAGGGAACUACACGGUGAAAUCUAGCUACUUCCUUUCUCGGUCUAUUUGUUCUUCUGUUGCUAAUUCAUCGGGAGCUGGACCAGGUCCAACUCACAAGGAAAUAGGAGCCUAUUCUCGUAGAAAAUCUAGAAAAUUGCACUCCCAACUAAGUUAUCAACAUUUUUGUGGAGUUUCCUUAAAGAAAAAAUGCCAAAUCAAGACCUCCUGUAUAAGCGUCUCCCACAGGUUUCCCCAGAUUGCAGAUUCUGUGGUGUCCCAGAAACAAUCAAACAUUUCUUCUUUGAAUGCAAUAGAACAAGGGAAAUCUGGAUCCAGUCUCCAUUCUAGAUCAGAUCAUCCUUCCUAUUGGGUACAUCCAUGAUGGAUAUAUGGACUGUCGCAACCUUUAAUUGAUCAAGGCCAAGAUAAGGUUUUUGUUCCAAUGCUUGUUUUCCUUUUGUGGCAGAUAUGGAAGAGCCGAAAUUGCUUUAUUUUUAAGAACCAGACUCUUUCUUUUCAAGAGAUCAUUGUCUUAGCUAUGAGACACCAUGAAGAGUUUGUUUCAGCACAAGCUAAGGAGGAAUCACCUCGAUCUGGUAACAUACGCGCUGCUGUGGGUUGGGAACCUCCCCCCUUCGCAAUGGAUUAAAAUUAACUUUGAUGGUGGACCCUCGAAGCAGCAGAACUUGGGCUCAGUAGUUGUUAUUGCAAGAGAUAGUCUUGGCAACCCCUGCGGUUGGUCUUGUAAGAGACUUCUGGCUAUGACCGAUCCAUUGAUAGUAGAAGCUGUAGCAUGCAGAGAAGCUCUUAUCUUUGCAAAGACAAGGGGCUUUAAUCAAAUCAUCAUUGAAGGAGAUGCUGCUUUGGUGAUACAAUCCUAACAGGGAAGUACCCCUCCAAUUGAAAUCAAAGAAGUUAUUGCAGAUAUUUUAGAGCUGGCCAAUGAUUUUCGUAAUAUUAGUUACUGUUUAGUGAAAAGAGAUUGCAAUGCAGCAGCUCAUAAUCUUGCUGCAAAAGCCUCAUCUGAGGCCUCUUUUAUUUGUAAUCCUUUGACGCAGUUUAACUUUGUAUUUGACUCUAUGAUCUGCUGAUUUUUCAAUGAAAUUAUUACCUUUCGAC